RNAcentral lists this ribosomal RNA (254 nucleotides) under uncultured bacterium. RNAcentral's name for it is "partial 16S ribosomal RNA". It matches the Rfam family "Bacterial small subunit ribosomal RNA", at positions 524 to 776 of the family's 1533-position model. The record is from RNAcentral.
UACGUAGGGUGCAAGCGUUGUCCGGAAUUAUUGGGCGUAAAGAGCUCGUAGGCGGUUCAGUAAGUCGGGUGUGAAAACUUUGGGCUUAACCCAAAGCGUGCAUCCGAUACUGCUGUGACUUGAGUUCGGUAGGGGAGUGGGGAAUUCCUAGUGUAGCGGUGAAAUGCGCAGAUAUUAGGAGGAACACCGGUGGCGAAGGCGCCACUCUGGGCCGAAACUGACGCUGAGGAGCGAAGGCAUGGGUAGCAAACAGG